GACGACGCGUGGGCGGGCGUGCCUAAUGCAUGCAAGUCGAGCGGGCGUACGGUCUUCGGACUGUAGCUUAGCGGCGAACGGGUGAGUAACACGUAGGUAAUCUACCCUUCAGAGGAGGACAACCUCAGGAAACUGAGGCUAAACCUUCAUACGUUCACUGGUAGGGAUACUGGUGAAGAAAGAGUUACCUUAGUGGUAGCUGCUGAAGGAUGAGCCUGCGGCCCAUCAGGUAGUUGGUGAGGUAACGGCUCACCAAGCCGAAGACGGGUAACCGGUCCGAGAGGAUGUCCGGUCACACUGGGACUGAGACACGGCCCAGACUCCUACGGGAGGCAGCAGUUGGGAAUAUUGGGCAAUGGGCGAAAGCCUGACCCAGCGACGCCGCGUGAGGGAAGAAGGCCUUCGGGUCGUAAACCUCUGUCAUUGGGGACGAAGGAAGUGACGGUACCCAAGGAGGAAGCCCCUGCUAACUACGUG
This 477-nucleotide ribosomal RNA is filed under the name uncultured bacterium. Its description in RNAcentral is "bacterial SSU rRNA". It matches the Rfam family "Bacterial small subunit ribosomal RNA", at positions 34 to 507 of the family's 1533-position model. The record is from RNAcentral.